RNAcentral lists this transfer RNA (66 nucleotides) under bovine gut metagenome. It matches the Rfam family "tRNA". From Rfam's summary of the family: Transfer RNA (tRNA) molecules are approximately 80 nucleotides in length. Their secondary structure includes four short double-helical elements and three loops (D, anti-codon, and T loops). Further hydrogen bonds mediate the characteristic L-shaped molecular structure. tRNAs have two regions of fundamental functional importance: the anti-codon, which is responsible for specific mRNA codon recognition, and the 3' end, to which the tRNAs corresponding amino acid is attached (by aminoacyl-tRNA synthetases). tRNAs cope with the degeneracy of the genetic code in two manners: having more than one tRNA (with a specific anti-codon) for a particular amino acid; and 'wobble' base-pairing, i.e. permitting non-standard base-pairing at the 3rd anti-codon position. The record is from RNAcentral.
GGUAUCGCCAAGUGGUAAGGCAACAGACUUUGACUCUGUUAUCCGUAGGUUCAAGUCCUGCUACCC